Molecule: ribosomal RNA, 440 nt
Filed under: uncultured bacterium
Lineage: Bacteria
Description: partial 16S ribosomal RNA
Rfam family: Bacterial small subunit ribosomal RNA
Source: RNAcentral
CCUACGGGUGGCUGCAGUGGGGAAUAUUGCACAAUGGGCGAAAGCCUGAUGCAGCGACGCCGCGUGAGUGAAGAAGUAAUCCGUUAUGUAAAUCCUUAUCAGCAGGGCAGAAAAUGACGGUACCUGAGUAAGAAGCACCGGCUAACUACGUGCCAGCAGCCGCGGUAAUACGUAGGGGGCAAGCGUUAUCCGGAUUUACUGGGUGUAAAGGGAGCGUAGACGGUAGUGCAAGUCUGGAGUGAAAGGCGGGGGCUCAACCCCCGGACUGCUCUGGAAACUGGACGGCUGGAGUGCAGGAGAGGUAAGGGGAAUGCCUAGUGUAGCGGUGAAAUGCGUAGAUAUUAGGAGGAACACCAGUGGCGAAGGCGGCUUACUGGACUGUAACUGACGCUGAGGCUCGAAAGCGUGGGGAGCAAACAGGAUUAGAUACCCUUGUAGUC